CAGUAGCCGCGGUAAAACGAAGGGGGCUAGCGUUGCUCGGAAUUACUGGGCGUAAAGGGAGCGUAGGCGGAUAGUUAAGUUGGGGGUGAAAGCCCGGGGCUCAACCUCGGAAUUGCCUUCAAUACUGGCUAUCUAGAGUAUGGGAGAGGUAUGUGGAACUCCGAGUGUAGAGGUGAAAUUCGUAGAUAUUCGGAAGAACACCAGUGGCGAAGGCGACAUACUGGCCCAUUACUGACGCUGAGUCUCGAAAGCGUGGGGAGCAAACAGGAUUAGAUACCCCGGUAGUCCCUGUCUCUUAUAC
RNAcentral lists this ribosomal RNA (301 nucleotides) under uncultured bacterium. RNAcentral describes it as "partial 16S ribosomal RNA". It matches the Rfam family "Bacterial small subunit ribosomal RNA", at positions 509 to 807 of the family's 1533-position model. The record is from RNAcentral.